Molecule: long non-coding RNA, 9477 nt
Organism: Marmota monax (woodchuck)
Lineage: Eukaryota; Metazoa; Chordata; Mammalia; Rodentia; Sciuridae
Exons: 4
Source: RefSeq, a predicted model, not a curated record
CCAAGUCCAUGCAACAGGGAGCUGCCACCACGGUGUACUGCGCAGCGGCUCCGGAGCUGGAGGGCCUGGGAGGGAUGUACUUCAACAACUGCUGCCGCUGCCUGCCCUCGCCAGAAGCCCAGAGCGAAGACACGGCCCGGGCGCUGUGGGCGCUCAGCGAGAGGCUGGUCCAGGAACGCGUCGGCGGGCAGUCCAGCUAGGAGCUGGGGCGACGAUGGCUCCCACGCCCCUGCACCUGUGCGGCACCACUGGCCAAUGCCAGCCCCUCCCACUUAGCAUCCUGGGGGCUUCCACGCCCCUCCAGCGCAGAUCCACAAAAGAAGCAAUUGCAACAGAGCGAAAAAUGUUAAGCACCAUGGGGAAGCAGGGAAUCGUCGCUUUUCUGGGGUCAGGGUGGGUGUGGGUCCCUUGCUUUCUGGUGGUGGCCUGAUGGGAGGGGAAAGCUUGAUGGGUGUGCAGUUCUUUCCCUCACUGUAGAAGCAUAGCAACUCACUCUCAGUUUUGGAACAGCCUGGUGUGUCCCCUUAUCCCACAGGGCCACCACCAUGGCCAUCAUUAUAGUCAGAGGCUGGCUUUCUCCUGCUUAGGGAAGAACAAGCAAAUGCCCAUCCUGUCAUGCUGCAGAGACCCAGGAAACAGUUAUUCAUUCCACCAAGUCUGAGGCAGCUUGACAACUUCCUGGAGAGAAUCUCAGAACCUGGGUCUAGCCAUCUGAAACGGGGACACCCAGAGACGCAGUGCAGUGGGCGGGGCUAGCGGGCAGAAGAGUGCCGGUCCUCCACUCCCUUGCCAAAGCUAUCCAAAAAAUUCUUUAGAGAUUAUAACCCAUUUUGCAAAUCAUUCCUUAGCUACCUAGAUGGGCAAGAUGGGAGGGAGCGUGUCCUCAGGGGUACAUGGAAUAUUCUUGGGGUGGGGAGUAAAAAUACUUCCCUCAUUCUUCCCUCGAGGGUUCCAGAACAGCCCAGUGGCUGGGUUUCCCGCCUGCUGCUGCUUCCUCCUGUUCCUCCCAUCCCAUGCUUAAUAAAAGAGCAUGCUUGGCUAUUUCACCUGAAGUUCGUUUAAAGUUUCUUUAAAAGUCCCUAUCGUCUCUUUAAAAGUCUGUGUCAGUUUUUUUUUUUGUUUUUGAAUUUUUUUUUUUUUAGAAAAGAAAUCUAGAGGAAAAAUAAAGCGCUUCUGUAGACGCCAGGAAGACACCAUUCUUGCUUCUUCUCUGAGUUCGUGUUGUGUUUUGUGCUUUGUGGCUGUCCAUGGGCCAAGUUGUCUCACGCGGUUAGCAUGCCAGCGUCGUAUUUUCUGUUAGAGAAAGAAAGAAAAAGAAAAGUGACUACCGUUUGAUUUCACCUGAAGAGGCUCUUUAUUACUUACGCAGGGUUACUGCAGCCCUGGGAGCUCGGCUUCCCGGUAGGCACCCAGCUCGUGGUGAUGGAGUGUCAAACCAAGGAGGUCAGCCAGGGACUCUUCCCUUUCCAUUGACCUGCCACACCCUUAAGACGUCCCCUAGGUCUCAGAGACCAAGUCUUCCUGCAUCCUCAAUCCACCCGACAGUCAUCUUGAGCUAGAUUCUGGGAAUUCAGAGUUUAGGUAAGGGAGUGAGGACAAGAGGAAGUCCACUCUGGCAUGAGGGAGAGAUGCUUUUACUGAAGUACUGAGACCCUGAGGGUGGCAUGUGUGUCCUGUCCCCCUUCCUGAAAACGGUAGUGUCAGUCUAGGCAGCACCAUGCAUCAAUCUCUGGGCCUCCACCCAGUGGGACAUCGUCGCUCUCCCCUAGCCCAGGCCUGGCUACUGCCUCGCGUCAGCUAUGCUGUCCCUCAGAAAAUCCUUAUUAUUCUAGGACCGUUAAAAGUACGAAUCGGAUAAUGUCACCUUCCUGACAUCCAGGUAACCCCACUUACAUGGGGUCAUCACAGAAGACCCAGCCCCAGCUGAGCCAGCCCAGAGAAGGAACGCCACAAUGAACCCACAAGAAGUGCAAAAAUUAAUGAAAUUGUUAUUGCAAGCCACUUAUUUUCAGGAUUGCGUGUUCUACAGCAAAAGCUAACCACUCCAACGUCCCGUUUCACUGAGCGAAGUCUGCAUUUUCCAGUGGUGGCCUGAGUUCUCUCAUGAGCUGGUCCUCGGGCACCUCUCUCCUCCCCGAUGGGCACCUCCCCUGCUCUGCUAGGAGCCGCGCUGGCUUCCUGUGUCCCUCCAGCAGGCCACCUGGGCCUUCUCCAGGUCUCUGUACACCUGUUAUCCCGGCUGAAAGCUUUCCUCCCGGAGGUCUGGAUGGCCUCCUCCAUCGCUGCUUCCUGAUCUCUGUUCAAGUGUGACCUGUGUCCAAAGAGGUGACAUUCCCAGCCACUCCACUUGCGCUGUCACCACAGUCAGCCUCCCCUGCCCUUAUUGUCAUAUGAAGACAAUACUCUUGGUCAUAUGACGAGUUUCUUCACUGCCCUUCUCCACCCUAUAUCAGAGACCCCAUGGCAUUUGUCUUCUUCAUAGUGUGGCCACGUGCCUUGAACUGCUCCUGGCACAUAGUAGGUUUCAUAAGUAACCUCCAGGGGAAGGAUCCUUCUUGCCCACCAACGUUUCUGUUCAUGAAAGUAAUUUCCACCAUUGUGACAACUGCGAGCUGCACACCUCGCCAAACUAGCCUCAGUGCCCCGUCUAAUUUCUAAGGUGACCGCGUCCUGCCAGGCGAUGCCCACUUCCUGUCUUACACCCGAAGACACUGAGGCCAAGAGGUUUCAGAGUUACCGCUGUCCACAUGGUGCACACGUCAGUAGAGCCGUGAUUCCUACCGUGGUGGUUCGAUGUCAAGGCCAGGCAGCUUCUCUGCACCAAAGCCACCAGUCCAACACAGGCCUCAAGUGUCCCUCUGGUAGGAUGCACCACCUAGAUGUCUCAGGCUGGGCAGAGAGGUGACUUUGCCGGUCUGACUCUAACUCGACCUGUCACCUUCGGCACCGGGGCAGAAGUCAGGACAAAGACGAUGCUGGAGCAGCAUCAGCAUCGGGGGUGUCCAGGAUGCCAAGGAGAAGCAAAGGGAGAGUGCUGGCCUCCUCCUCCUGUCACUGACUCCUGUGCGGACCUGCUUCAGGCUGAUGAGACGAGGCUGGGGGGACGGACCAGGGGAGAUGAGGAGCCCCACCUCAACAGUCCCCAAUUUCGUGUAGGCCAGGCCCUCACACAUUCCUUCACAUUUCCAUUCCACAAACGUGCCGAGGGCUACAUUCUGGAAAUUCAGUUCUGGGUAAAGCCCCGGAGUCCCUGCCGUAAAGACCUUAUAUCUUCCGUCUGCAGGAGUCCUCCCAAGACGCAAGGCCCUGGUCAUGUCUACAGAGCUCUCUAGGUACUUGAAGAUGAACGGAGGCCCUGGACAAUGGCCAGGCUUCCUCUCGUCCACUUCUUCCUGAGAUCAGUGUGACCAUUGCUGUGGGGCCAUUUCCCUCUGCUGGACAUAUCACUGUCAUUUCUUUGGCUAAUUCUGUCAGUGAUUUCUGGACACAUGAGCAAAUGUGCACGACAAUUUCUGUUUGAGCUCAUUCCAAGGCCAAGUCUGUCUUUCACCAUAUCAAAUGUACCUAGAUAUGUGAAUACAUAUAAAUUACUACUUAUUAUAAUAACAAUCCUACUCUGUCAUCACCAGUGCUACUAAUUGCCAGUAGUGUUUAUUGAGAAUCUACUCCGUGCCAGUUGAGAGUGUAGGCAAAUCACACUUACCUUUUCCCUGUGUGCUCAGAGGAUGAAACUGAGGGUCAGGGAGUCAGAGCGGCCUCCCCUCUGCCCCACAGCAGUGAAUAGUGGAGCCAGGAUUUGAGGCCAGCUCUGCCUGCCUCAAGCUGGUGUGCUUUCUGCUACCCUACGGGUGGCCCGGAGACAGCAGAAUGCACAUCAGGAGUGAAUUAUUCACAACGGAAGGCUGGUUGACUUCUUGCCUGAGGAGGGGACUCUGGCUGGUGCUCCUUCUGGUGGGUCGUGCCUGCUAUAAACGUGACAAACCACCUUGCACAUGCCAUUUAUCCGACGAUAUUGGCUCCAGCCCCCCGACCCCAGUGUUCCCCAGCAGACCCUCACACCUGGAUGGAUUGCCUAUGUCUGCCUCUGGCCUCUUUUCCUUCUAGUGGACACAGGUUCUGAGCUCUCCCAAUGCCACGGAAUCCACCAAACAGCACGAAGAGGCUGGGUCCUCCGUGGUCCUUCUCUUCUGAGUUCCCCUCUCUUCCUACGUUUCAUUAAACCCUAGAGGCAGCCGGUCUCCACUUUCACAUCUAAAUAAGAGGGACUUGCUGCAGUUUAUCAAUAGGAAACAAGAAAUGGAAGCGUCCCCUGGCAGAGGCUGUACCCUGUGGCUUGUGGCUUUUGCUCUUUAAAAUGAGGCGAUGGUUCAUUUUGUUUUGAACUUCAAUGAAGGAGGCCUGAUUCCUUUCAUCAAGGUCAAUGCUAAGCGAGAAAGCUUGGCUUGCACAAUUGCUGCCCAUUCUGGUCACCAGCGGUUACCCUUUUUUUAGAAGUUUACAUUAAAAAUAUCUCAAAUAGCAAUACCUACCCUGGGUAUCAACCUUGUGCCUUUCAACAUAGCCAAGCCGGUUUGGUUGAAGUCACUUUAGAAUGCUAAAUGACAUCAUGAAAUGUGAUCCACAGAAUCAUUGAAAAAAAAAAAAACACUCUGAAUUCUUGUGCCUAUUGAUGAAAUGAGGUAGCAACAAUAAACGUAAUUUUUAGAAAGAAAAAGAAAGACUCAUGUACUGCUGUACAUACAAUUUUGCAUUUAAAUGCUGCUUUUCAAGCCUUCAUGGUGUUUUUUUUUGGGGUCCUUCCCAUUGUUUCUCAAAACUUUCAAUUAUUUGAACAGAUGCCUAGUAUAUCGUGUUGGUGAUGUGCCACCAUUUGGAAACCCAGCCCUUGCCCACGACAUUUGGGUUAUUUCUAGGUUCUCUUGGUAGAACUAACAGUUUGCUUAGCAACUUUCUGCAGAUGAUUUUAGUCCCGUUAAUUUACCUCCUCGGCAACAUUGCAGAGGCUGGGAGCUCCCAACUGUUGGGAAGGGCCCCUCCUACCACUUCUGUUCCGUUUGUUUGUAACCUUGUCAACAUGGGGUGUUGACAUUUAUAUUUUUAAGCAUUUUAGCCCUGUACUGUCACAACCUCUAUCUAUUUACAUGUAAUACUCCCAAGCGGCCAGCCAACUUAUUUAAACCAUAAGCAUUUUGUCUUUUAUAUUCCCCCAGGACGAGUUCACAAUUUUAAUUAGUCUGGAAAUUCCGAGUGAGUUUACAGAGAGGGGGUUUUGGUAGGAAAACGCAGUCCACGGUGCUUCAACUUUGCUGGGCUACUUUUUCCAGCCACCAGCUGCAUCUCUACAUCAACUCAGCCGAAUGCAGCACAGGACGCAGACUCUCACCUGGGAGUCUCUGGUUCCUGCUGGCUCACGGACUGACCCCUGGUUGGGGCUCUCACCAGGCCCCUUCUUGGCCGCUGAUGUACCUGUGCCUUCAUGAAAAUGUGCCACGCCAAUCAGGAGAUUGUCUUGCUGCCAACUGAUCUGCUUGCAGGGCCGUCCCCGCUGCACCCUAGCUGUGAGGGAUAAAAGCUGUUUCCAAUUUUCAAAAUGGGAGGAAGCACCCAGCGCCUCUCUGCGUCACACAUUCACACGAGGCGGGGGCCCGUCUUCCUCUGGCCUUCCUGGUUUUAUCAGAGGCUCGAUUGGAGCUUGUCUCUCGACUUUGGAAUUGUGACAGUGUCUCUUGUUGGAUGCCAGACAUUGCAGAGGCUAAAAGUCCACUUCUGUAAAGUUCCAUUUCCUGAGUGUUUACCCAUAUUUUGUGCUUUCCUGCAGUGCUGCUGUCUUUAUGUAGUAGAGUCUCAUGACUUUGGAAGUCAACAUAAGUGUCCCCUUUUCACCACAGAGGAGGCCAUUCAAGCCUGAGACCACGGAUGCCCAGGAUUGUUACGUAAUUGUCUCUCUGCAAGUCCAUUCUGCAUCCCUGUGUGCCCUCCCUCCCUGCGCUCCCGGCCUUCCCUGCUUUACUUUCUAUUUCCAGACUUGUUUAGGCUUCUCCAAGGAUUCCGAAUUUACCUGACAGUGGCUUUCUCUUACAGGGAUUGGAGCUCUGGGGACAGGGAUGGAUCUGCCCAGCCUCUCUCAGCUUGGCUGAAACUAACUCAAGGAGUCUGAGACUUUAAAAACAGCACCACCGCCCGCUGAGCUGAAGGGCUCCCUUGAGAGGAAUCACUCCCGUCAAUAGAACUGUGUCUAAAAAAACCAGUCACAUCACUGGGCCAUCAUUGGGUACAUAACGCACUGAGUUUGAUGUGUCCACAAGUCCUCGUUCCCUUGGGAAGUACUCCCCUGAUCCCAGGCUCCUUGGUGUUCAUCCUCUCAUGUUCUGAUUCUGGUGUUUGACGUUUGGAGCUGUUAUCCUUGCAAAGGAGGCAUCCAAAGAAAAACGGGGGCUUCUGAUCCAACUGCCCACUGUGAUGGCCACACCUGCAUCUUUCAGGUGAUCUGAAGAGGAAAGCUCAGCUGUCUCCAGAGCCCUGAGAAGCCUCGGAACGUCAUCUCACCUCUUCGACACUUGCCAGGAUGAGGAAAUGAGAAUAAAACCACGGUUCCUCUUGCUCUGACCUUGAGCUACAAUUUACAUGAUGUCCGAGGUGCACUUCCCCAGGUGUGAAUCAGUCCUCAUUCUGGUGCCUGGGGGAGGCUGUACUUCUGAGCGGUGGCCCUACUAAAGCAUGUGAUUCCAUGAUGUUGAACACCAGGUUUGAGGUUCCUGCACAUUUCCUGUCUAUUUAUAGAGUCUGGGAUGCCAUCCAGCAAGUCUAUGGAUUGCAUCAACCAAAUAAUAAACUUGUUGGAGAAAUCCGUUCUGUGUCAAUUCCACUAACGUGGGCUUCAGCUCACCCCCGACCGCGCCCAGCUUGGCCUUACUUUACAGGGUGCUCAGCCAUCCUAAUUUGCCCAUGACCAGGGGUUUCCAGGACUUGGGACUUUGAAAGCUGAGCCUGGGACAUCCCAAGCAAACUGGAUGAUGAUUACCCUCACUCUAUUUUUCUGCAAUAAUGCUCUGGUUAUGUCAGCAUUGCCCAUCGUCGUGAUCAUUAUCAUUAUCAUCAUCAGAACAGUGACGAUUUCCAACCCCCAUUCAGCUAUGUGAUUCUCAGGCUGCACACAGGUAUUACAGGAAUCUGAAAGGACAGUUUUGUACACAUCAUUCCUUACUCCAGGGUGGACCAUGCCCAGGGGUCUACUCUCCAGUUUGCCAGUGUCCAAACAUCACCUUCAUCGGGACUAUUCUUCUUUCUUUCCAUGAGAAAAGGCUUCAUAUUUAAAGUUGUAUGUGUGUGUGUGUGUGUGUGUGUGUGUGUGUGUAGCAGAAGAGCCCUUUCUCGAAAUGAAAUAUUCCACAGAUGCCUAACUCCACAAAACCUUGAAGGUGAGUUGCUCUGGUCUAAAGGAGAACCGAGCAUCACUCCCAAGACAGCAUCUUUGGAAAGCUUACUGGUCUCCUCCAUGCUGGCCCGCAACAUCUGACGAUAUUGGAAUGAAAAAUUUAGUAAAUGAGAUAGCUAUGAUUCUACAAGGCAGAGUUGGCAAAUUUGUUCUGUAAUGGGCCGAGUGGUGAAGGUUUUAGGCUUCGUGGGUGCAUGGUCAGUGUCAAAUCCUUAGUUCUACCUUCACACAGAGCAGCAGGCCUAGACAGACACCAAAGAAGGCGUGUGGCCAGGUUCCAGGGAAACUGUUUAUGGACACAAACUUGGAUUUCACAUACUUUUCAUGUGUCACAAAAUAUCCUCCCCCGAAACCAUUAAAAAUUGUAAAAGUCUUUCUCAGCUAAUGAGCAUACAAAACAGGUUGAUUUGACUCCUGGGCUGUAGUUUGCUGACCCCUGCUCUACAGAGGUGUCCACAGCCUGGUUUUGAGUCUUGCCUCUGAGAGUUACUAUCUGCACAUUUGUGGGAAAGUCAUUUAAACUCUUAAGCCUCAUUUUCAUCCAUUGCAAAAGGGAGUAUAAAAGCCUCCGGGAACAGAGGGCUUCUAUGGGAACUCUUCCUUUCCCUUGAUUUUUCUGUGAACCUAAAGUUGCUCUACAAGAGAAAGUCUGUUUAAAAAUAAGUAAAAUCAAGUAAUAAAUUGAGAAUUGUUUUUCUGAGGACUAAAUGAGAGAAUAGAAAGUCUUAGCCCAGGGUGGACACUGUGCUGUUUAUACCCCGUCUCCAUGGAAGCUGUGGAAUGCCCCUUCAAAGUCCCACUCCUCAUUGUCCUUCAAACACCUGGGACCAUUGCAAGGCACAGCUCCGAAGCCAUGCGCCUUAGAGCUAGGAUCCUGGGUCAGUUUGGGCAGAGCUGACCAGAAUCAGCCAAUCAGACUCGCCAGGGUACACUCCUGUUCCCCUCCUGCUGCGAAGGCCCGGUGCUGGCUGAACUCCCGGACUCUUCCCUGGGUAAAAGCAUUACUUGCUUUUCUUCUGCAAUUUUUUCCAAGGAUACAAGCAGUGCUCAUUUAACAGCCUCCAUCAUUCUUCCCUUCAACUGCUGCGCUGGUUUCCCCGUUUUGGCACUGAGAUUCUUACACAAUCCCUCCUGCAGGCCCCUGGCCUCCCUCCUCCAACAGCCUCCUGGUGGGCGUGUGGGGAGGCUGAUAGCAUUUUCCUAUUCCUUCCUUCCUCUGAAGGAUCCGCUGAGCUUUCUCCUCACCCUUAUCUCUUUCUCCUUGACUUUGCAACAUGGAACACUUGCUGUCAUUCCUGGAGCAGGGGCUAUUUCCAGCCUGGCCAUCCCCAGCUCAUCCCCAUGGGCACACCCAGGGCUUUGGGCUCCCGUUUCUCCUGCUCUGAGACUUGUGAGGCUAUUUAAGGUCUCUUUAUAUUGUCAUCACCAAAGUAAUCCUACGGGUUCUUUCGUUUCUUUAAUUCCUCUUUGAUUUCUCAGCUCCACCAACUCAGUUGCUGGGUCCCCAGUCCUAGGUCCCUCCCAAAGCCGUUGGGACAUCUGUAACAUGCCUCAUCAAGCCUUUAAAAAGAACUGUCUACAUUUCACUUUCCUUACACUUCCAUUAUAAAUUAAUCCAUACGUCUGACUGAGGGUGCAGACAAGUCAAACACUGAGGAAAAUAACAAUAACCUUAUUCAAUAUUUUUUUGGAAUAAUUUUCCAUUGAAGGAUUUAGACAUGUUCUUGUGAUCAUCCUUUUAUUCUUUCUGUCGCUAUAUAGUAGUAGAUACUGAUAAAGUCACUCAGCAAAAGAGCAUUGAUAUUUUUCUUUGUUAUUACUGUCUGAGUGAACCUCACUUUAUGAUUUCAUAAUAUUCAAAUGAGGCAUUCUCUUAUGUUUUAUUUCAUCAUUUCUAUUUUAUUGAAAUGCGUUUCCAGUUUUUGCCAUUAUAAAUAAUACUCCGAGGGGCUGGGGAUGUGGCUCAAGCGGUAGCGCACUCGCCUGGCAUGUGUGCGUCCCGGGUUCGAUCCUCAGCACCACAUACAAACAAAAGAUGUUGU